AUCCAGCUGACGAGUCCCAAAUGGGACGAAAAUGAGAGUUCUGGAU
This 46-nucleotide non-coding RNA is filed under the name Schistosoma haematobium. Lineage: Eukaryota; Metazoa; Platyhelminthes; Trematoda; Strigeidida; Schistosomatidae. The record is from RNAcentral.